This is a non-coding RNA of Schistocephalus solidus, 83 nucleotides long. Lineage: Eukaryota; Metazoa; Platyhelminthes; Cestoda; Diphyllobothriidea; Diphyllobothriidae. The record is from Rfam.
GGCCUCGUAGCUCAGUUGGCUAGAGCGUUGGCUGUACUAAAACAUUCCCCUUGCUAUCGUGGGUUCGAAUCCCACCGAGGCCA